This is an RNA transcript of Ictalurus punctatus (channel catfish), 3391 nucleotides long. RefSeq lists it as uncharacterized. The record is from RefSeq and is a predicted model, not a curated record. The transcript has 6 exons. NCBI's taxonomy places the organism in Eukaryota, Metazoa, Chordata, Actinopteri, Siluriformes, Ictaluridae.
UAAAGUGCGAUAUAUUGGCACUCUCCUUAUAAAUUAUCGUUCAAUUUCUCAAGCAAUGUGCCACUGCGCUCUUGUUGCGCUUUGAUGAAAGAAGUAAACAUUCAGCUGAUCCCUUAACCGCGCCGGUGUGAGGUGUUAUUCGGUUUCAGAAAUUUACUUGUAAAAACGCUUAUUUAGAUAAACAUGUAAAUUUCAGUGUAGAAUGUUAACGGGCACACAUUUUUGCAUGCAAAGAAAAGAGGUCCUUUAGAUUAAAACAGGUUUAAAAUGUGUACGGGUUCAAUUGUAAGUGAGCUACAUAAACAAGCUUGUCGUUUGUAUUUAAUUCUACUUUAUUUAAAUAUAGUAAUCUUUUUUUUAGUUUAUAAUGUGUUGAAGAGCAACAUCUCCGAUUUAAUAUAUGCCAGUUCAACUGAAGAGCUGAUGAAACAUUAUUAAGGCUUUAUUUCCAUCAGGUCUCGCUUGAAAUGCGUUGCUAGGAGACAGGGCACUGUUUUGUUGAUGUCAGUAUUUAGGCCCAUACAUGUAUUUUUUCUCUCUCUCUCAAUAAAUAACCUUUUUUAUUGGCCUUCUGCUGAGAAGCUGCAGCCAAGAAUAAAUGUUUUAAAAGGAAGAGUCUUGUGUUAAAUGUCUACUGUGGUUUUGUGGGAGACACAUCAGAAGACAAGACUACAGCAUUUUCUGUCAGACCUGGCAAUAUUAGGAUCCUUACAGAGUUUCCAUUAUUUUCAGCCUUGGCUGAGAGGAAAAGAGGAGCUGCUACUGACUGUUGUAAAUGAAGAUAUGGGAUGGCCUUCUCCUGGUUUUCCUGCCUCGGUUGUAUCAUCCUGCACCAGUCCUACUUGCAGUAGCAGUUACAGUCUGGACAGUGACUAUGCCAGCUUCCCAUUAACUAGCAAAGGUCCACAACUGCAACUCAGACCUCAGUCUCCACAGACCACUCAACAGCAGCCAAGCAGGAGUAAUGAUUUGCAUCUUCUCCCAGCUUCUCCCAGUGAGAAGGAGAUCUCUGUGCCAGUGAGCUACCCAUGAAUGAUAUUUUUUAUCUUACUGUGUUAGCAGUGAGAUUUCAUUAUAGCACUGAUGAUAAUGAAAAAUAUGCCUAAAUACAGGAAAUGAAUCGGCCCCUUUUCCUGUUGGCUGGCUAUGCUAAAUAUGGAUGGCCAUAUGCAUGGAUAUAAUCCAAUCAUGAACGUUUGAUUAGUGUCGGAGGUGCUGACUCACUGGCCAAAGAUACACCAAUGAAACUCAAAUCCAUCACAUACUGUGUUUUAACUUAUCAAGGACCACGAGUGUGGGAUGUCGCUAAUGAGCUGGUGGGUCUGUGUGCCAUGGCCCCUCCAGAUAAUCCUUUCUCUCUGACUACCUUCAAACCCUUCCUUUCCCAGAGCGCUUACUUGCAACUGGAGCACUCCUUAACUUCUUGGAGAUGAUUGUGGUUCAAGGAAGUCGCAAAGAACCAUUCUAUGAUCUGGGUGGGUGCCAUGCCGGAAAUUCUGAGCCUGCUGAAUCUGGUUUUACAGUAAAUGGAAUAGGAGCAGUGGACAGUCCUUAUUUAAUAGGAUCUAUGAAGUUGUGGAGGAGAUCCAAGCCCUUGAGGCAACUCCUUUAUCAGAGUCUCGCUGAACUCCUGAAACACCGUAAUGUCAAGAGCAAGAGCCUCUCAAAACUGGACUCUGCAGAGGAGCAGCAGCCUUCGUCAAACUGCCAUGGAUCUGGAGAUGACUAGACAGACUUUGAAAACAAUAUAACAGUUGCAGGUUCUCAGUGACAACAACCAAGAUGAUAUUCAUAUGCAUAUAAACCAGAAGAUCCUGUUAUUUUAUUCUUCCAAAUGUAUAAGAAGUUCUCUUUAUCACACAGUAUAUUAGGAACUUUUGGAAUCAUAGGUAUUUUACUCACUUUACUCUGGACAUCUAAUUGAGAAAUAAAUUAUAAACCUUGAACAUUUUUAUGUCCAAGUAUUCCUGCUUGGCUUACUUAUUACAAUUGCUUAAUUGUUCAUCUGAGGUUGCUGUUUGCCAUCUAUAAAAUGUAUAUGAAAGAUAAUGAAGCCUGUGCUUGCCAAAGAUGUGGGGAUUUUAGGUGUUUUUUUUGAGGAUACAAGCCCUUCAGUGUCUUGGCAAAAAGUGAACAUAAUUUCUCAUGACACUGUAUAUAAACACUCAACUAAGUCCCACUCAGGCCCAAUUGUAUAAAAAGUAUUCAUUUUUUUGUGUGGAAUUCCAGGACAAAUUCCUCAGAGAGGACAAGUUUCCUUAUGGUCUUUCAGCAAUAAUAUUAUAGUAUGUUGUCCCCAUCCAAUAGUACAGAAAGAGAUGAGGCAAUGGCACAUAUUACUGUAUAAAAUUUUAAUUUCUGAAAAUACAUAUAUAAAUAUUUAAACAAAAAAUAUAAAACAAAGACAUGCACAUUCAUUAGACAUUAAAAAUCCCUUGAGCAGAUACACAGAUCCUGGAGGCAGGUCUGGUGUCCUUGUAUUAUGGGUUACACGUGAAUAUAAAUUAGAUUAAAACCAAUGAGGAUAAAAUAUCCAAAACACAGCAGAGCCAACUGCCUGGAUGUUAUGAUAAUAAGGCUCUGUAGGUCAACAUUGAACAUGCAGAUACUUCUAAUUAGAAUAUGCAUUAACAACAUUGGCUGUAAAAUAGCAACUUAUGGACUUGCAAGGUCAUGUACAGCAGUCAAAUAUGUAGUAUUUAAUCCUGUUUAACAUACUUGGCUUAUGGUAGUAAGCCAAACAUAUACAGAAUUAUUGCUCUUAAUGAUAAAAUGCACACACAAAUUACCAUUUUGAUGUCACUAUCUUAAGAUCAUGCAAAUUAAAAAAACAAAAGAUAAAAUUUGAUGUUCAAAACCUGCAGCUCUAAAUUCAGAAAGCAGACUGAAGAUGGGAAGGAACAUAUAGGAGUUCAGAUUGACUCCAUUGGAAUGCAGGUGCACGGCAUGAAUCCUACACAAUCUGCUCAGGGCACAUUAUGUUCUCUCACUCAGUGCACACACAAACACAAACUGUGCCUCUUAUUUUCUCCAAGGUCCUGGCUUAUUAAUCCACUUUAUGGUUAAGGGUAAAUGAAAUGAUGAGAAUAGAUUUGAUCUUCCAGAUUUUUUUCAAUAUGGAUAUUCUACCACAUAAUCCACUAAAUCAUUUUAAACAUAGCUAAAGCUAUUUGAACAUGUUCAAAAAAAGUGUAGCUUUCUACCUCUGGUUAGAAGUUGCACCAAAAGUAUAUAUGAAACUGUGUGUAACUUGUAACUGUAGUGGUUUGUAACUGUGGUUUUGGGUGGUAAUAGGGAUAGAACUUCCAUUGCAACAUUGCGGUUCCUGCAUCCUCCCUGUUAUUACACAAAUACCUGAUGCAACAUACCUAAUACAAGCACCCAUUCCUGG